AAAUUGAAGAGUUUGAUCAUGGCUCAGAUUGAACGCUGGCGGCAGGCCUAACACAUGCAAGUCGAACGGUAACAGGAAGCAGCUUGCUGCUUCGCUGACGAGUGGCGGACGGGUGAGUAAUGUCUGGGAAACUGCCUGAUGGAGGGGGAUAACUACUGGAAACGGUAGCUAAUACCGCAUAACGUCGAAAGACCAAAGAGGGGGACCUUCGGGCCUCUUGCCAUCGGAUGUGCCCAGAUGGGAUUAGCUUGUUGGUGGGGUAAUGGCUCACCAAGGCGACGAUCCCUAGCUGGUCUGAGAGGAUGACCAGCCACACUGGAACUGAGACACGGUCCAGACUCCUACGGGAGGCAGCAGUGGGGAAUAUUGCACAAUGGGCGCAAGCCUGAUGCAGCCAUGCCGCGUGUAUGAAGAAGGCCUUCGGGUUGUAAAGUACUUUCAGCGGGGAGGAAGGGAGUAAAGUUAAUACCUUUGCUCAUUGACGUUACCCGCAGAAGAAGCACCGGCU
RNAcentral lists this ribosomal RNA (508 nucleotides) under Escherichia coli. Its description in RNAcentral is "bacterial SSU rRNA". It matches the Rfam family "Bacterial small subunit ribosomal RNA", at positions 1 to 498 of the family's 1533-position model. The record is from RNAcentral. Lineage: Bacteria; Pseudomonadati; Pseudomonadota; Gammaproteobacteria; Enterobacterales; Enterobacteriaceae.